Molecule: non-coding RNA, 128 nt
Filed under: Foraminifera environmental sample
Lineage: Eukaryota; Foraminifera
Source: RNAcentral
CGGGCAAACAUCGCAGAGAGAAAGAAGAAGUGCUGAUCAACAACCUGGUUGGUUUCGCCAUUUGUUAUCCACAUUCAAACUGCCAGCCCUACCCGGACAGCGUGUGGAUGUUUGGCUGGCUGUGCGUG